UCUGGCUCACGAUGAACGCUGGCGGCGUGCCUAACACAUGCAAGUCGAGCGAUUCUCUUCGGAGAAGAGCGGCGGACGGGUGAGUAACGCGUGGGUAACCUGCCCUGUACACACGGAUAACAUACCGAAGGUAUGCUAAUACGGGAUAAUAUGUUUUGAUCGCAUGGUCGAAAUAUCAAAGCUCCGGCGGUACAGGAUGGACCCGCGUCUGAUUAGCUAGGUUGGUGAGGUAAUGGCUCACCAAGGCGACGAUCAGUAGCCGACCUGAGAGGGUGAUCGGCCACAUUGGAACUGAGGCACGGUCCAAACUCCUACGGGAGGCAGCAGUGGGGAAUAUUGCACAAUGGGCGAAAGCCUGAUGCAAGCAACGCCGCGUGAGCGAUGAAGGCCUUCGGGUCGUAAAGCUCUGUCCUCAAGGAAGAUAAUGACGGUACUUGAGGAGGAAGCCCCGGCUAACUACGUGCCAGCCGCUGC
This 474-nucleotide ribosomal RNA is filed under the name uncultured bacterium. RNAcentral's name for it is "bacterial SSU rRNA". It matches the Rfam family "Bacterial small subunit ribosomal RNA", at positions 18 to 518 of the family's 1533-position model. The record is from RNAcentral.